This 1126-nucleotide ribosomal RNA is filed under the name uncultured Glomus. Its description in RNAcentral is "SSU rRNA". It matches the Rfam family "Eukaryotic small subunit ribosomal RNA", at positions 298 to 1447 of the family's 1831-position model. Lineage: Eukaryota; Fungi; Glomeromycota; Glomeromycetes; Glomerales; Glomeraceae. The record is from RNAcentral.
AUUAAAUUUCUGCCCUAUCAACUUUCGAUGGUAGGAUAGAGGCCUACCAUGGUGGUAACGGGUAACGGGGUGUUAGGGCACGACACCGGAGAGGGAGCCUGAGAAACGGCUACCACAUCCAAGGAUGGCAGCAGGCGCGCAAAUUACCCAACCCCGACACGGGGAGGUAGUGACAAUAAAUAACAAUACGGGGUUCUUUAGGAUCUCGUAAUUGGAAUGAGUACAAUUUAAAUCUCUUAACGAGGAACAAUUGGAGGGCAAGUCUGGUGCCAGCAGCCGCGGUAAUUCCAGCUCCAAUAGCGUAUAUUAAAGUUGUUGCAGUUAAAGAGCUCGUAGUUGAAUUUCGGGGUUAGUAGGUUGGUCAUGCCUCUGGUAUGUACUGGUCUCACUGAUUCCUCCUUCCUGAUGAACCUUAAUGCCAUUAAUUUGGUGUUUUGGGGAAUUUGGACUGUUACUUUGAAAAAAUUAGAGUGUUUAAAGCAAGCUAACGCUUGAAUACAUUAGCAUGGAAUAAUGAAAUAGGACGUUCGAUCCUAUUUUGUUGGUUUCUAGGAUUGACGUAAUGAUUAAUAGGGAUAGUUGGGGGCAUUAGUAUUCAAUUGUCAGAGGUGAAAUUCUUGGAUUUAUUGAAGACUAACUACUGCGAAAGCAUUUGCCAAGGAUGUUUUCAUUAAUCAAGAACGAAAGUUAGGGGAUCGAAGACGAUCAGAUACCGUCGUAGUCUUAACCAUAAACUAUGCCGACUAGGGAUCGGAUGAUGUUAAUUUUUUAAUGACUCAUUCGGCGCCUUACGGGAAACCAAAGUGUUUGGGUUCCGGGGGGAGUAUGGUCGCAAGGCUGAAACUUAAAGGAAUUGACGGAAGGGCACCACCAGGGGUGGAGCCUGCGGCUUAAUUUGACUCAACACGGGGAAACUCACCAGGUCCAGACACAAUAAGGAUUGACAGAUUGAGAGCUCUUUCUUGAUUUUGUGGGUGGUGGUGCAUGGCCGUUCUUAGUUGGUGGAGUGAUUUGUCUGCUUAAUUGCGAUAACGAACGAGACCUUAACCUGCUAAAUAGCCAGGCUAGCUUUGGCUGGUCGCCGGCUUCUUAGAGGGACUAUUGGCGUUUAGCCGAUGGAAGUUUG